AGCUCCAAUAGCGUAUAUUAAAGUUGUUGCGGUUAAAACGCUCGUAGUUGGAGUUCUGCCAAAAGUGGCCGGUCUACCCUCCGUGGUUUGCACAGGGCAACUUUCGGCAUCAUCCUGGGAAACUUGUAUGCACUUUACUGUGUGACCUUGGGAUCCAGGACUUUUACUUUGAAGAAAUGAGAGUGUUUCAAGCAGGCGAAUGCCUUGAAUACGUUAGCAUGGAAUAAUAGCAUCGGACCUCUUCCCAACGCUGUUGGUUCAUUGGAGUGAGGUAAUGAUAAACAGGGAUAGCUGGGGGCAUUCGUAUUUAACUGUCAGAGGUGAAAUUCUUGGAUUUGUUAAAGACGAACUACUGCGAAAGCAUCUGCCAAGGAUGUUCUCA
RNAcentral lists this ribosomal RNA (382 nucleotides) under uncultured eukaryote. RNAcentral describes it as "SSU rRNA". It matches the Rfam family "Eukaryotic small subunit ribosomal RNA", at positions 587 to 972 of the family's 1831-position model. The record is from RNAcentral.